GCCGGCCUCCGCGCGGGGACUGUUUCUGCGUCCCCUCGUGGGCCGGGAGGACGUGGCGCAGCCCGGUGUGUGGACCGCAGGAGCGUCCGGCCUGCCUCUGUGGGUGUCACCGGGUGCCGGUCGGCACGCGUGGGCGUGUCCUAUCGCUCCACGCGUGUUCCCUCCCUCACCGUCGCCUUUCCUCCGGGACCACGGUUUCAGAAAUGGAGCCAUGGAGUGCAUGGUUCAAAAUGUAGCUACUGUGCUGGCUAUUGGAAGGAGGAGAUUCAGAAGAUAGUGAGGGAACAGAGUUUGUCAUGCUUCUACAGUAGAUCUUUGAUAUUGUCAGUAAGGAAACAUCCACACCUUCUUUGGUUAAAAGUCUCAGAGACUUUGAGGGUCACUGCCUGCCAAGAGGAAAGUAUGAUGAAGCACAGGCUGUUUCACUGAACCACUCCACGGAUGGUCCAUGACUGCGGAGCAGAGUGAACCUCAGUAUAGACAGCACUGGUCUCCUACAAGGCCACGGUCACCAGCAGAUGAGGUGUUAAUGGAUUAUUCCUGGUAAUGGGUUUCCCUUUGCCUCUUUAUUACAUUCCAAGCUGUUACCUAGACUACAUUUCACUAUAUCUAAUUAAUGUACUAAUCAACUGUUUUGAAUGGAAAGGGAGAAAAUAUGUUGAUCCUCCUGCUGGCAGGGUAAGAAAUAUGCCUACUGUGGAGUAUCUUUUUCCAUCAUGGAGAAAAUGUAAUCUCUAUUGUUCUCAAAAGUGAAUAAAAUUUUUGUAUUUGAAUUCCUGCUUGUAUGGCUUGGGGUAAUCCUAGUUUCCAAGUGACUAUUUGUUUCAGAAAGAUUUGCUCCAGAAGCCACUCAUAAGGCUGCUGUCAAAUUCUUUAAUAGAGAAUUAGAAGCCAAAUUCACUGACUAGAAACACUGAUAAUCAGUUGGCAGUAGACUGAUGUCCAGCGCCCUGAAUUUGUAACUGCUGCAGAACUGAGAGACCCAGCUGUGGAGGGGUGACUGCCCACUCCACAUCUUCCAGGUGGAGAGUAGCCACCAUGCCCUAGUCCCACUCUGUCCUCCAGCUGUCUUGUGUAUCUCCCAGCAUCCAUAUUUGUGAUCCCUCCACACAUCGAUGCCCUCUGAUGACAUACUGGUCAUGAGAGCCAUGAGCACGUCAGCAGCUGUGCUGUAUCUUUAAAUCUUUUGUUCCAGUGACAACCAUUUGAAAUGGAAAGAAUCAUCCCAUUUUACACAUUUCAAAAUACGACUUUGGAUAGAUUAUGUAGCUUGUCUGUGGACACAGAGCUACUGAUUGGUGAAACAAGGAUUUCUGUCCCCUUCCUCCCCAAACUUCCAGCCAUCAACUGUCAUCUCUGUUGAGAUUCUGGCUUCCCUGAAGCAACUGAUACAGGCUGUAAGACAUGGGCCACAGACAACUUUUAAAUAUGAAAUGAUAAUUCUUUGCCUACUGAGAUUCUUUUUUUAAUCCAGAGGAAGAGAACACUUAUAUGUUUAUUUGACAUUCAUGUGCAAUGUUUACAUUUACAAAGUGUUUUACGGUAUAAUAGAAUGGGCACAAAUUUUUAUUAUCUGGGCA
Molecule: long non-coding RNA, 1580 nt
Organism: Fukomys damarensis (Damara mole-rat)
Lineage: Eukaryota; Metazoa; Chordata; Mammalia; Rodentia; Bathyergidae
Source: Ensembl